CGUUGUGUUAUAAAGUCGGUGCGUCUGAAGGCUUGAAGGUGGCUUAUUCCUCCACCCACCCGACUUCUUCUCCGGCCGUCAGAGAAUUCCCACACCCUCGCAAACCCGACCGUAACCCUAAUUCCUUCUCCGAUCACUCCUCCGCCCCUCCUCUCCCAUGGCGUCCUCCUCGUCUUCCUUCGAGAGCGGCGGGGACGAGGCCUUCGACGACGACAUGGAGGCCCUGAGGAGGGCCUGCAUGCUCACCGGCGCCGAUCCCGCCGCCGUCAACGACUCCGACUCAGAUUCCGGCGGCGAGAGCAGCAGCACCGACGACGUCGAUCUCCUUCGCCGCCUCCAGGAGCGGUUCUCUGUUCCCUCCUCGGAUGCCGAUUCCUUGCCCUUCAUCAAACCCCUGAGCUCUCGCCCGCUGCCCGAAUCCGAUGAGGAGGAUGAUUUCGAAACUCUUCGUGCCAUCCAGAGGAGGUUCACUCAGUAUGAUAGCGAUGCUCAGAAAAAGAAAUCUGAGAACUUUGUACAAGAUACUGAGAUGAUUGUUGCUGAUGUGACAUCUGAGCGAGAAACUCGUAAUAUAGUGCCCAAGAAUAGUGAUUCUGGUUUCACUGAACAUGCAGAGAAUGAAUCAUAUAGUGUAAAUUUUGGGGGUUUCAUUCAAUCACAGUUCCCAAAGUCUGCACAGUUCUUUGUUGAUGCCCUCAAGAAGAACAGGUCAUGCCAGAAAUUUAUUAGGAGGAAGCUGAUAGAAAUUGAAGCAAAGAUUGAAGAAAAUAAGGAACUGAAAGAACGUCUUAAAUGUCUUAUGGACUUUCAAGUUGUCUGCAAAAAGAAAGCAGGGCAUAUAUCGAGUCAGAAGAAGGAUCCUCGUGGCAGGCUAAUUUCCAUGCAAAAGUCAAGGAAAGUGAAAGAUUCCAAGGCCAGCUAUAAGAAGGUUCGUGCCUUAUAUUUUGGCCCAGCUGAGAACUCCCAUGUUUCUAAAUUUAAGAUGGUACUUAAGAGAUUCCCAGUCUCACUUAGAAAACAAAAAUGGUCAAACAUGGAAAAGGAGAAACUUGCAAAGGGUUUAAAGCAACAGUAUCAAGAGAUGCUCAUUUUGAAUUCGAUGAAUUUUGAGAGUGAUGUCGAUUCAAAUUUAAUGUCUGGAUUAUCAAGCAGUGAUCUUGAUGUCACCCCAGAAAAAAUUAGAUCUUUCUUACCAUUAGUCAAUUGGGAUCGGUUGGCUUCUAUGUAUGUCCCAGGCCGUUCUGGUGAAGAGUGUGAAGCUAGGUGGUUGAACUGUGAAGAUCCAAUGAUUAAUCACAACCCAUGGACCAUACUGGAGGAUAAGAAGGUUUUAUUUGUUGUCCAGGAAAGAGGGAUUUAUAAUUGGAUUGAUAUUUCAGUUGCACUGGGAUCGCAUAGAACUCCCUUUCAGUGCCUUGCACGUUACCAACGGAGUCUUAAUCCUCAUAUUCUGAACAAGGACUGGACAGAAGAUGAAGAUGCUAAACUUCAUGCGGCUGUAGAAAGUUUUGGUGAUAAUAACUGGCAGAUUGUAUCCUCUAAUCUAGAAGGCCGCACAGGUCCUCAAUGUUCUAAUAGGUGGAGAAAAUCCCUGAACCCUGAUAGGAGAAAGGUGGGGAGGUGGUCUGUGGAUGAGGACAAGCGUCUCAAAGUAGCAGUAAUGCUUUUUGGGGCCAAAAAUUGGAAUAAGAUAGCUCAGUUUGCCCCUGGUCGGACACAGGUUCAAUGCAGAGAAAGAUGGCUUAAUUGUCUAGAUCCAUCUUUAAAUCUGAAAGGAUGGACUGAGGAAGAAGAUGCCAAGCUAUUGGCAGCAAUAGCUGAACAUGGGUAUUGUUGGUCCAAGAUUGCAACUUUUGUGCCUCCACGUACUGAUAGCCAGUGUAGGAGGAGAUGGAAGGUUUUACUUCCUCAUGAGGUGCCAUUACUCCAAGCUGCUAGGAAGAUGAAGAGAACCGUUCUUAUAUCCAAUUUUGUGGAUCGGGAGAGUGAACGACCGGCAAUUGGUCCCAAUGACUUUAGGCCAGUUGUCAAUUUUUCAGAGGCUGAAAAUACUGAUAGUAUGGGACCUAGAAAGAAAAGACCAAGUGAUAAUCAACCCAAGAAGUCUAGGGUUAAGUCCAAGAGAUCUCUUAAAGAGAAUUCAACAGCAGAUGGUGUGAUAAGUUCUACUGAAACAAUUCUUUCUGACUCAGCUUUGGUUUGUAGCAAAAAUUUUAAUACUGCUGAAGGUGGGAUUAAGAGGUCAAGGAAGAAAAAGAUCAAGUGACAACAAACCUAAGAAGUUGAGAGCUAAAUCAACAUCUGUUAAAGAAAAUGCAAUAGCAGAUGGGAUGGCCAAUUCUUCUGCUGAUAUAGUUCCUGGUGACAAUUCUCUUGUGCAUAUUGUAAAUUAUACUACUGCUGAAAGUGGGAGAAUUAAGAGGACAAGGAAGAUGAUGCCAAGUACUGCUGAGUGUUGGGGGAAAGGAAGGAAUCAAAAGACAGCAGAGAGAACAUUGAGGUAUUACGGACUAAGGCACUUCACUUCUUGCCUUGCACUGUAUAAUAUCCCAACACAAUUUCCUUUUUGGUGUUUAUUUUUGAUAUUGUAGUUGUAAUCAACCCAGGAAGUCUAAACCUAAAUCCAGGUCUCCUGAAGAAAACAAAACAGCAGUUGGCAUGGUGUUAAAUUCUUCUUCUGAAAUUGUUCCUUCUGAGGCAUCUCUUGUACCUAUUGUAAAAUCUGAUAAUGCUGGAAAUGGGAACAUUAGAAAGACAAUGAAGAAAACCUAAAGGUAAGGCAUUACAGUUUGAGCCUUUAAGACACUUCAUUUUGUUUCGUCCACCAAAAUAUAUUGGACUCAACACACUGAUUUAUUUUCUUGGGAAACCCUGACUUUUAAUGCACAGAGGAGGACCAGAAGCUAAGACUCAAAAGAAAGUCUACUCGUAAGUUUAGCUUGAGUGCUAUCCAUCUCGUUGAUUAUUACUGUAUGGAAGUGUGAUGCCAGAAAGAGGAAAGAGAUGUUUGAGAGAAAAUUAAGUGACAAUAUGGUGAAUUAUCCUGAUGCUGAACAACAGUUCACCUGUUUCAAGGUUAGAGUCUCCAGCUGUUGGAAUUAGGAGUAGUGAGAGGAUAAGAAAUCAGAGAUUAAGGAACAACAGCUAGUAAUGACAGGGCAAACUCUGGGUAAGUCAGCCUCAAAUUCUUUCUUUCUUUAUUGUCUUUUGAUCUCUAUGGUUCCUUCCAUCAGUAUAAUGGAAGGAAAUUCAAAUGCCUAUAUUUUUGCAAUAAUUAGCUAGCUGUUUACCUUUUUGGCAUUGGUUUUGCUUGAUUUAUAGUAAGAAUUUCAGAACAAGUUGCCCCAGCCCUAGGGCAGAAAGAAAAAGAUCUCGAGUAGAAUGUUCGUUGACUGAUGGUAUCAUAAGAGGCAAUAUUAUCAUUUCCAAGGAGAAGAAAGGAUCAUCAAAUACGAUUUCUGAAAAGCCUAUUUUUAUUAAAUUAGGAGAGGCUGACAAGGUAUUUUGUCGGCUGGAAAGUACUUGAUAACAUAGGAACUGGUGCUGCUUCUGAGGGUGAAACAAACACUGGCCAAGUUUCCCAAUCAAAUACAGUGAAAGAAAUUCACUGUGAACAAGAUAGUAGACCUGCAGACUAUGGUACAUUGCUUGUUCCUACAUCACAAGGUGAAAAGAAGAUGGGAAUGCUUGGAUAAUCACGUUGUAGCUCAGAAUGUUGAGGACUUUUUUGAGACUAAUGGCUAAGGUUGGCGGAACCAUCCCGAACCGGGCGGUUCCAGCUGACUCGAGCCAUACCGGUGGCUCACCGGUACGGUUCCGACAACAAAAACAAGACCUAUUGCCGGAGUCAGAGAAGAAGGAAAGAGAGAGCGAGCGGGGGAGGGAGAGAGAGAGAGAGAGAGAGGUGGCGGAGGGCCGUGGGGGGUUGGCAGAAGCCACGGCCGGUUCUCCUGUUUUGUUUGAAACAGAGGAAUUGGCCGUGGCCUCCGCCGGCCCUUCGUUCGAAAUUGAGAAACCGGCCGCGGCCUCUGCCAGCCCUUCGUUCGAAACAGAGGAAUCGGCCAUGGCCUCGCCUGCCGCAACCUCCGCCGGCCCUUCAAAAGAGAAAAACUGGCCGCAGCCUCUGCGGUCCCCCCCGCGGCCUCCACUGCCCUCUCGCGACCCUUCGUCGGCAUCUCCUACCUCUCCCUCCCCCUCUCCCCCUUUUUUUUUUCUCUCUCUCUCUCUCUCUCUAUCUCUCUCUUUUUCUCUCUCCCAUGGCACUGAUAAUCUCUCUUGGUACAGGCUCGACACGGCCCAUACCGGGUCAUCCCACCGGAGAACCGGUACGGUGCCCGGUACUGGUUCCUCCGACGUUGCUAAUGGCAUUGAGAAAAUGACAAAAAAUGGCCUAAGAUAACAUGAGGUGGAUGAAAGUACUCAGUCAGCUGACUGCCACCAAGCUCUGGAACAUCUAAACAAUUCAGCUUUUGAGAGUGCAGAUUGUUGUGGUAUUGUUGUUGAUGGUGGCAAGUCUACUGAACCCUGCCAAUUAAAGAAAAGCAUUUCUUGUUGUGAAUAAGUAAAUGGGAACAUGCACAAAGGUUGGAAGUCGUGUCAAUUUAUCUGCAAAUGGAAUCCGAGAUUACUUAAUGAACUUGGAACAUAUGGAUCUGUAAACAUUACGCAAUGACCUGAGCCAACAGAUUGAUUGGUGAGGAUCACGAGACAGAUCUCAGUUCUGAGCGUUCUAAAAAUGCACUAUGUGUACGCUACUUGGAUUUUGAAACAUUAGUCUCUUUGCAGGUUUGAUGACGGUUAUCUUGGUGGCAAAAAUAUAUGACCAUGUAUUUUAAUUGAUCAACUGAUGAUGAGAGUUGUCCUAGCCCUUUUUCUGUGGGGUAGAAGCACAAAAGCUUCAUCUUCACAAAUGGGGCCUAGGUAGAGCACUUCCUACUGGUCUAUUGUCACUUUGUUCUAAUCAUUUUAGUGAUGCUAGAGAGUCAGUUGCUUCAUUAUAAUUAGUUAGCCAGGCUCUGUUUUCUCCUCAUAUAAAGGGUAGCUGCAUCUAAAUUGAUAUUUCCUAGUCAUUGCAUGCAGAGAGGGUUUUGGAGGGCCCUUGACAUAACACUCUGUCAAGGCAAUCCAGCUGCCAGACUAAUAGUGGAUUUUUGGUGGUGAUUGGAGGUGCACAUGGAGCUCACAAAGAUAGCAGACUCACAGAGGCAAUGUGAAAGAAUACACGGGUUGAGAUAAAAUACUAGCAGAAGAUUUACAGUCUGUUAGAAACUGCCGAUAAAGGGUGAAAGAAAAAAAGGAAUUUGUAAUACUCUUGGACUUGAUGUUGCUAUAUUUAAAUGACUUUUGUGGCUGACUGCCUUACAAAGGAAAAAAUACAAGAAUAUAAAAAGGAAAAUAAUUGACACGAUUGUCCAUUUUUUUGUCUGCUGUUUAACCUUUUGUUUUACUCCAAUGUAUUUUUAACAUGCAUUUCUCUUUUGUGCCAUGUUUCUUUUUCAACACUAUCACUAAUAUUUGCUAUGACGCUGGGAAAAUUAAUUUGGCAGCUACAAUUAUCAUGAGUAGAUUAUGGCACGCACUCGAAAAUAGGACAAGGGGAUAGAAGGUAGCAAGUCAAUGCAUGAAUGGCGUGAAGCCUCGUACAAGCAGGAGUUGAGUUUAGUGGUGUGGUAUAUUAUGAAUUGUGUGUGGGUCUAUUGAACCUCAGGCCUGCCGGCGGAGGUGGCCUAAGCUGUACAGUGAGCUUUAAAGUAUAUGUUCAAAAAUGUCUAAUAUGCUCAAACUUUACAUAUUUGUCUCAGUUGUAACUUUGUUUGGUGAAAAUUGGACAGGGGCUUAUGUGUUGAUGAACUGCAGAUAUCCUGGAUAGGUGGACAGUUCAGUCUGUUUACCCCUGGGAACCAACUUACAAGUUUUGUACUUCAACCGAUGAAAAAAAAAUCAUACUUACAUUGAAGUGACUCAUGUAA
Molecule: non-coding RNA, 5969 nt
Organism: Phoenix dactylifera (date palm)
Lineage: Eukaryota; Viridiplantae; Streptophyta; Magnoliopsida; Arecales; Arecaceae
Source: RefSeq, a predicted model, not a curated record